This 75-nucleotide transfer RNA is filed under the name Candidatus Babelota bacterium. Its description in RNAcentral is "tRNA-Gln". It matches the Rfam family "tRNA". Rfam says of the family: Transfer RNA (tRNA) molecules are approximately 80 nucleotides in length. Their secondary structure includes four short double-helical elements and three loops (D, anti-codon, and T loops). RNAcentral also lists the same sequence under 2 other names. The record is from RNAcentral.
UGGAGCGUGGCCAAGCGGUAAGGCACCUGUUUUUGGUGCAGGCAUGCGGAGGUUCGAAUCCUCCCGCUCCAGCCA